RNAcentral lists this ribosomal RNA (761 nucleotides) under uncultured bacterium. RNAcentral's name for it is "bacterial SSU rRNA". It matches the Rfam family "Bacterial small subunit ribosomal RNA", at positions 65 to 807 of the family's 1533-position model. The record is from RNAcentral.
UGCUUGCACCUGAUUGACGAUGGAUCACCAGUGAGUGGCGGACGGGUGAGUAACACGUAGGUAACCUGCCCCGGAGCGGGGGAUAACAUUUGGAAACAGAUGCUAAUACCGCAUAACAACAAAAGCCACAUGGCUUUUGUUUGAAAGAUGGCUUUAGCUAUCACUCUGGGAUGGACCUGCGGUGCAUUAGCUAGUUGGUAAGGUAACGGCUUACCAAGGCGAUGAUGCAUAGCCGAGUUGAGAGACUGAUCGGCCACAAUGGAACUGAGACACGGUCCAUACUCCUACGGGAGGCAACAGUAGGGAAUCUUCCACAAUGGGCGCAAGCCUGAUGGAGCAACACCGCGUGAGUGAAGAAGGGUUUCGGCUCGUAAAGCUCUGUUGUUGGAGAAGAACGUGCGUGAGAGUAACUGUUCACGCAGUGACGGUAUCCAACCAGAAAGUCACGGCUAACUACGUGCCAGCAGCCGCGGUAAUACGUAGGUGGCAAGCGUUAUCCGGAUUUAUUGGGCGUAAAGCGAGCGCAGGCGGUUGCUUAGGUCUGAUGUGAAAGCCUUCGGCUUAACCGAAGAAGUGCAUCGGAAACCGGGCAACUUGAGUGCAGAGGAGGACAGUGGAACUCCAUGUGUAGCGGUGGAAUGCGUAGAUAUAUGGAAGAACACCAGUGGCGAAGGCGGCUGUCUGGUCUGCAACUGACGCUGAGGCUCGAAAGCAUGGGUAGCGAACAGGAUUAGAUACCCUGGUAGUUCCAUGCCGUAAAC